UGAGGAAUAUUGGUCAAUGGGCGAGAGCCUGAACCAGCCAAGUAGCGUGCAGGAUGACGGCCCUAUGGGUUGUAAACUGCUUUUAUAUGGGAAUAAAGUGAGGGACGUGUCCCUUAUUGCAUGUACCAUAUGAAUAAGGACCGGCUAAUUCCGUGCCAGCAGCCACGGUAAUACGGAAGGUCCAGGCGUUAUCCGGAUUUAUUGGGUUUAAAGGGAGCGUAGGCUGUUUGUUAAGCGUGUUGUGAAAUGUAAGAGCUCAACUUUUAGAUUGCAGCGCGAACUGGCAGACUUGAGUGCGCACAACGUAGGCGGAAUUCAUGGUGUAGCGGUGAAAUGCUUAGAUAUCAUGACGAACUCCGAUUGCGAAGGCAGCUUACGGGAGCGCAACUGACGCUAAAGCUCGAAGGUGCGGGUAUCGAACAGG
Molecule: ribosomal RNA, 424 nt
Filed under: Verrucomicrobiota bacterium
Lineage: Bacteria; Pseudomonadati; Verrucomicrobiota
Description: Verrucomicrobia bacterium partial 16S ribosomal RNA
Rfam family: Bacterial small subunit ribosomal RNA
Source: RNAcentral